RNAcentral lists this ribosomal RNA (2442 nucleotides) under Escherichia coli. RNAcentral's name for it is "bacterial LSU rRNA". It matches the Rfam family "Bacterial large subunit ribosomal RNA", at positions 398 to 2826 of the family's 2925-position model. Lineage: Bacteria; Pseudomonadati; Pseudomonadota; Gammaproteobacteria; Enterobacterales; Enterobacteriaceae. The record is from RNAcentral.
UGUGAGCUCGAUGAGUAGGGCGGGACACGUGGUAUCCUGUCUGAAUAUGGGGGGACCAUCCUCCAAGGCUAAAUACUCCUGACUGACCGAUAGUGAACCAGUACCGUGAGGGAAAGGCGAAAAGAACCCCGGCGAGGGGAGUGAAAAAGAACCUGAAACCGUGUACGUACAAGCAGUGGGAGCACGCUUAGGCGUGUGACUGCGUACCUUUUGUAUAAUGGGUCAGCGACUUAUAUUCUGUAGCAAGGUUAACCGAAUAGGGGAGCCGAAGGGAAACCGAGUCUUAACUGGGCGUUAAGUUGCAGGGUAUAGACCCGAAACCCGGUGAUCUAGCCAUGGGCAGGUUGAAGGUUGGGUAACACUAACUGGAGGACCGAACCGACUAAUGUUGAAAAAUUAGCGGAUGACUUGUGGCUGGGGGUGAAAGGCCAAUCAAACCGGGAGAUAGCUGGUUCUCCCCGAAAGCUAUUUAGGUAGCGCCUCGUGAAUUCAUCUCCGGGGGUAGAGCACUGUUUCGGCAAGGGGGUCAUCCCGACUUACCAACCCGAUGCAAACUGCGAAUACCGGAGAAUGUUAUCACGGGAGACACACGGCGGGUGCUAACGUCCGUCGUGAAGAGGGAAACAACCCAGACCGCCAGCUAAGGUCCCAAAGUCAUGGUUAAGUGGGAAACGAUGUGGGAAGGCCCAGACAGCCAGGAUGUUGGCUUAGAAGCAGCCAUCAUUUAAAGAAAGCGUAAUAGCUCACUGGUCGAGUCGGCCUGCGCGGAAGAUGUAACGGGGCUAAACCAUGCACCGAAGCUGCGGCAGCGACACUAUGUGUUGUUGGGUAGGGGAGCGUUCUGUAAGCCUGUGAAGGUGUACUGUGAGGUAUGCUGGAGGUAUCAGAAGUGCGAAUGCUGACAUAAGUAACGAUAAAGCGGGUGAAAAGCCCGCUCGCCGGAAGACCAAGGGUUCCUGUCCAACGUUAAUCGGGGCAGGGUGAGUCGACCCCUAAGGCGAGGCCGAAAGGCGUAGUCGAUGGGAAACAGGUUAAUAUUCCUGUACUUGGUGUUACUGCGAAGGGGGGACGGAGAAGGCUAUGUUGGCCGGGCGACGGUUGUCCCGGUUUAAGCGUGUAGGCUGGUUUUCCAGGCAAAUCCGGAAAAUCAAGGCUGAGGCGUGAUGACGAGGCACUACGGUGCUGAAGCAACAAAUGCCCUGCUUCCAGGAAAAGCCUCUAAGCAUCAGGUAACAUCAAAUCGUACCCCAAACCGACACAGGUGGUCAGGUAGAGAAUACCAAGGCGCUUGAGAGAACUCGGGUGAAGGAACUAGGCAAAAUGGUGCCGUAACUUCGGGAGAAGGCACGCUGAUAUGUAGGUGAAGCGACUUGCUCGUGGAGCUGAAAUCAGUCGAAGAUACCAGCUGGCUGCAACUGUUUAUUAAAAACACAGCACUGUGCAAACACGAAAGUGGACGUAUACGGUGUGACGCCUGCCCGGUGCCGGAAGGUUAAUUGAUGGGGUUAGCGCAAGCGAAGCUCUUGAUCGAAGCCCCGGUAAACGGCGGCCGUAACUAUAACGGUCCUAAGGUAGCGAAAUUCCUUGUCGGGUAAGUUCCGACCUGCACGAAUGGCGUAAUGAUGGCCAGGCUGUCUCCACCCGAGACUCAGUGAAAUUGAACUCGCUGUGAAGAUGCAGUGUACCCGCGGCAAGACGGAAAGACCCCGUGAACCUUUACUAUAGCUUGACACUGAACAUUGAGCCUUGAUGUGUAGGAUAGGUGGGAGGCUUUGAAGUGUGGACGCCAGUCUGCAUGGAGCCGACCUUGAAAUACCACCCUUUAAUGUUUGAUGUUCUAACGUGGACCCGUAAUCCGGGUUGCGGACAGUGUCUGGUGGGUAGUUUGACUGGGGCGGUCUCCUCCUAAAGAGUAACGGAGGAGCACGAAGGUUGGCUAAUCCUGGUCGGACAUCAGGAGGUUAGUGCAAUGGCAUAAGCCAGCUUGACUGCGAGCGUGACGGCGCGAGCAGGUGCGAAAGCAGGUCAUAGUGAUCCGGUGGUUCUGAAUGGAAGGGCCAUCGCUCAACGGAUAAAAGGUACUCCGGGGAUAACAGGCUGAUACCGCCCAAGAGUUCAUAUCGACGGCGGUGUUUGGCACCUCGAUGUCGGCUCAUCACAUCCUGGGGCUGAAGUAGGUCCCAAGGGUAUGGCUGUUCGCCAUUUAAAGUGGUACGCGAGCUGGGUUUAGAACGUCGUGAGACAGUUCGGUCCCUAUCUGCCGUGGGCGCUGGAGAAUUGAGGGGGGCUGCUCCUAGUACGAGAGGACCGGAGUGGACGCAUCACUGGUGUUCGGGUUGUCAUGCCAAUGGCACUGCCCGGUAGCUAAAUGCGGAAGAGAUAAGUGCUGAAAGCAUCUAAGCACGAAACUUGCCCCGAGAUGAGUUCUCCCUGACUCCUUGA